RNAcentral lists this ribosomal RNA (253 nucleotides) under uncultured bacterium. RNAcentral's name for it is "partial 16S ribosomal RNA". It matches the Rfam family "Bacterial small subunit ribosomal RNA", at positions 524 to 776 of the family's 1533-position model. The record is from RNAcentral.
UACAGAGGUCCCAAGCGUUGUUCGGAUUCAUUGGGCGUAAAGGGUGCGUAGGUGGCGCUGUAAGUCGGGGGUGAAAUUUCGGAGCUUAACUCCGAAACUGCAUUCGAUACUGCGGUGCUUGAGGACUGGAGAGGAGACUGGAAUUCAUGGUGUAGCAGUGAAAUGCGUAGAGAUCAUGAGGAAGACCAGUGGCGAAGGCGGGUCUCUGGACAGUUCCUGACACUGAGGCACGAAGGCCAGGGGAGCAAACGGG